Molecule: non-coding RNA, 72 nt
Organism: Ornithorhynchus anatinus (platypus)
Lineage: Eukaryota; Metazoa; Chordata; Mammalia; Monotremata; Ornithorhynchidae
Source: Rfam
AGCAGGGUGGCUUAGUGGAAAGAGCAAGAGCUUGGGAAUCAGAGGAUGUGGGUUCUAAUCCCAGCUCUGCCA